This 252-nucleotide ribosomal RNA is filed under the name uncultured Armatimonadota bacterium. RNAcentral's name for it is "uncultured Armatimonadetes bacterium partial 16S ribosomal RNA". It matches the Rfam family "Bacterial small subunit ribosomal RNA", at positions 524 to 776 of the family's 1533-position model. The record is from RNAcentral. Lineage: Bacteria; Bacillati; Armatimonadota.
UACGUAGGGGGCGAGCGUUGUCCGAAUUCACUGGGCGUAAAGCGCGCGUAGGCGGACUUUUAAGUUGGGGGUGAAAUCCCGAGGCUCAACCUCGGAACUGCCUCCAAAACAGGGAGUCUUGAGGUAUGGAGAGGGAAGUGGAAUUCCAGGUGUAGCGGUGAUAUGCGUAGAUAUCUGGAGGAACACCCGUGCGAAGGCGGCUUCCUGGUCAUAUCCUGACGCUGAGGUGCGAAAGCUAGGGGAGCGAACGGG